Molecule: ribosomal RNA, 379 nt
Filed under: uncultured organism
Description: bacterial SSU rRNA
Rfam family: Bacterial small subunit ribosomal RNA
Source: RNAcentral
CGCAAUGGGCGAAAGCCUGACGGAGCGACGCCGCGUGCAGGAAGAAGUACUUCGGUAUGUAAACUGCUUUUGUAGACUAGUAAUUUUUGAACAGUCUAAGAAUAAGAGGUUGCUAAACUCGUGCCAGCAGCAGCGGUAAUACGAGUGCCUCAAGCGUUAUCCGGAAUUAUUGGGCGUAAAGGGUGUGUAGGUGGUUUUGUUAGUCUUCUGUUAAAUCUCUCGGCUUAAUCGAGAGCUUAUAGAGGAAACGGCAAGACUUAGAGUAUGCGAGGGGUCUGUGGAACUCAUAGUGUAGCGGUGAAAUGCGUUGAUAUUAUGGGGAACACCAAAAGCGAAGGCAGCAGACUGGAGCAUUACUGACACUGAAACACGAAAGCGU